GUGUGUGUAGAUUAUUUUUAAAUCGUAAGGCUGUUAACUUUAAGAAAGCUUACUAGCUCACAGACG
RNAcentral lists this transfer RNA (66 nucleotides) under Plagiorchis elegans. Its description in RNAcentral is "tRNA-Asn". The record is from RNAcentral. Lineage: Eukaryota; Metazoa; Platyhelminthes; Trematoda; Plagiorchiida; Plagiorchiidae.